GCAUUGGUGGUUCAGUGGCAGAAUUCUUGUCUUCCAUGAGAGGGAACCAGCUUCAAUUCCUGGCCAAAGCA
Molecule: transfer RNA, 71 nt
Filed under: Loxodonta africana (African savanna elephant)
Lineage: Eukaryota; Metazoa; Chordata; Mammalia; Proboscidea; Elephantidae
Rfam family: tRNA
About the family: Transfer RNA (tRNA) molecules are approximately 80 nucleotides in length. Their secondary structure includes four short double-helical elements and three loops (D, anti-codon, and T loops).
Source: Rfam by way of RNAcentral